UCUGGCAGUGAUUCACUGUCCGAGUUGUAAAUUGAAGAGGGUGUCAUCCACAUUGGACCAUGUCUAAAUUGUAAUGAUCCACAGUCCUUUGAUGGAGUAUCAGAGAGGGUAAUAAUCCCGUCUUUAACAUGGACUACCAGUGUUUUUGUGAUGCACUCUCUCAGAGUCGAGUAGUUUGGGAAUGCUGCUCUAAUGGGAGGUAAACUCCUUCUAAAGCUAAAUAUUGGCGAGAGACCGAUAGCGAACAAGUACCGUGAGGGAAAGAUGAAAAGAACUCUGGAAAGAGAGUCAAAUAGAACGUGAAAUUGCUGAAAGGGAAGCGUUUGGAGUCAGACACAUCUUCAUGCCAUACCACUUAGUGGCAGAGGCUGAGAGUGGUUACUUGAAGAUGGGCCAGCACUCACGAAGACCAUUGAAGAAGGGGUCAUGGAAUGUAGCUCAAGUCUUGAGUGAUUAUAGCCUUGAUUCAGAAGCAAUGUGUCUUUGUGUGAGAUUGACAGCAUGGACUUUGUGAAGUGCUUGAUUGACUGGCAUAAUGGCUCUAAGCGACCCGUCUUGAAACACGGACCAAGGAGUCUAACAUGUAUGCGAGUAUUAGAGUGAUUGAAACUCUGAAUGCGCAAUGAAAGUGUUCUGACUGAGAAUCCCCCCCUGGGAGGCAUCAGUACCCCGAGUCUGUUAGUCUUUGACUAAAGAUUUGGAGGCAGAGCAUACAUGUUGGGACCCGAAAGAUGGUGAACUAUGCCUGAAUAGGGUGAAGUCAGAGGAAACUCUGAUGGAGGCCCGUAGCGAUUCUGACGUGCAAAUCGAUCGUA
RNAcentral lists this ribosomal RNA (815 nucleotides) under Craterellus sp. RNAcentral's name for it is "partial large subunit ribosomal RNA". It matches the Rfam family "Eukaryotic large subunit ribosomal RNA", at positions 121 to 906 of the family's 3401-position model. The record is from RNAcentral. Lineage: Eukaryota; Fungi; Basidiomycota; Agaricomycetes; Cantharellales; Hydnaceae.